UUUUUUGAGAGUUUGAUCCUGGCUCAGGAUGAACGCUGGCGGCGUGGAUAAGGCAUGCAAGUCGGACGUCCCGCUUUUAGCGGGAAGUGGCGAACGAGUUAAUAACACGUAGGUAACGAACCCCAAAGACGAGGACAAUUCAUCGAAAGGUGGACUAAUCCUCGAUAGUUCCCCUACCUCAAAAGUGGUGGGGGAUAAAAGGAAGCUUUUGCAACCGCUCUGGGAUCGGCCUGCGGCCUAUCAGCUAGUUGGUAAGGUAAUGGCUUACCAAGGCUAUGACGGGUAGGCGGAGUGAGAGCUUGACCGCCAACGAUGGCACUGCGACACGGGCCAUACUCCUACGGGAGGCAGCAGUCGAGAAUAUUGGUCAAUGGGGGAAACCCUGAACCAGCGACGCCGCGUGCUUGAAGAAGCCCUUCGGGGUGUAAAGAGCUUUUCUGGGGGGAGAAUCCCGCUAAAGCGGGAUGACGGUACCCCAGGAAUAAGGGGAUGCUAAUCACGUGCCAGCAGCCGCGGUAAAACGUGAUCCCCAAGCGUUAUCCGGAUUUAUUGGGCGUAAAGCGUCUGUAGGCGGUUUGGUAACUCUGAUGUUAAAGACUUCGGGCUUAACCUGAAGGAAGCAUCAGAAAAUGCCAGACUAGAGGGCGUUAGAGGCUGAUGGAACGGUCGGUGUAGGGGUGAAAUCCGUUGAUAUCGACCGGAACACCAAAAGCGAAGGCAUUCAGCUGGGACGGCCCUGACGCUGAGAGACGAAAGCGUGGGUAGCGAAAAGGAUUAGAUACCCUUGUAGUCCAUGCUGUAAACGAUGGACACUGGCUAUUGCAAGUGUCGACCCUUGCAGUGGCGAAGCUAACGCGUUAAGUGUCCCGCCUGGGAAGUACGGCCGCAAGGCUAAAACUCAAAGGAAUAGACGGGGUCCAGGAUUUCCACACGGACUCUGGCACAGGUGCUGCAUGGUUGUCGUCAGCUCGUAUCGUGAGACGUUCGCUUAAGUGCGGUAACGAGCGCAACCCUUACCCUAUGUUUGAUCUGUCAUAGGGAACUGCCCGAGAUGAUUGGGAGGAAGGUGAGGAUGACGCCAAAUCAGCAUGGCCCUUUGAUGCCCUGGGCUGCACACGUGGUACAAUGGCCGCUACAAUGGGUUGCGAAACCGUAAGGUGGAGCUAAUCCCAUCAAAAGCGGUCUCAGUUCGGAUUGAGGUCUGCAACCCGACCUCAUGAAGCCGGAAUCGCUAGUAAUCGCCAAUCAGCCACGUGGCGAUGAAUACGUUCCUGAGGCUUGUACUCACCGCCCGUCACGUUAAGCAAGCUGGGAAUACCCAAAAUCUCGUCGCAAGGGGGACUAAGGUGGGCUCAGUAAGAGGAACGAAGUCGUAACAAGGCACGGGUAGGGGAACCUGUCCGUGGAUAACCUCAUUU
Non-coding RNA from Parcubacteria bacterium DG_74_3, 1418 nucleotides. NCBI's taxonomy places the organism in Bacteria, Candidatus Parcubacteria. The record is from Rfam.